Molecule: non-coding RNA, 34 nt
Filed under: Schistosoma curassoni
Lineage: Eukaryota; Metazoa; Platyhelminthes; Trematoda; Strigeidida; Schistosomatidae
Source: RNAcentral
AUCCAGCCGAUGAGUCCCAAAUAGGACGAAACGC